Molecule: ribosomal RNA, 253 nt
Filed under: uncultured bacterium
Lineage: Bacteria
Description: partial 16S ribosomal RNA
Rfam family: Bacterial small subunit ribosomal RNA
Source: RNAcentral
UACGGGGGGGGCAAGCGUUGUUCGGAAUUACUGGGCGUAAAGGGCUCGUAGGCGGCCAACUAAGUCGGAUGUGAAAUCCCCAGGCUCAACUUGGGAACUGCAUCCGAUACUGGAUGGCUUGAAUUCGGGAGAGGGAUGCAGAAUUCCAGGUGUAGCGGUGAAAUGCGUAGAUAUCUGGAGGAAUACCGGUGGCGAAGGCGGCAUCCUGGACCGACAUUGACGCUGAGACGCGAAAGCGUGGGGAGCGAACAGG